UACGUAGGGGGCAAGCGUUAUCCGGAUUUACUGGGUGUAAAGGGAGCGUAGACGGCACGGCAAGCCAGAUGUGAAAGCCCGGGGCUCAACCCCGGGACUGCAUUUGGAACUGCUGAGCUAGAGUGUCGGAGAGGCAAGUGGAAUUUCUAGUGUAGCGGUGAAAUGCGUAGAUAUUAGGAGGAACACCAGUGGCGAAGGCGGCUUGCUGGACGAUGACUGACGUUGAGGCUCGAAAGCGUGGGGAGCAAACAGG
RNAcentral lists this ribosomal RNA (253 nucleotides) under Dorea longicatena. RNAcentral describes it as "partial 16S ribosomal RNA". It matches the Rfam family "Bacterial small subunit ribosomal RNA", at positions 524 to 776 of the family's 1533-position model. The record is from RNAcentral. Lineage: Bacteria; Bacillati; Bacillota; Clostridia; Lachnospirales; Lachnospiraceae.